This 253-nucleotide ribosomal RNA is filed under the name uncultured bacterium. RNAcentral describes it as "partial 16S ribosomal RNA". It matches the Rfam family "Bacterial small subunit ribosomal RNA", at positions 524 to 776 of the family's 1533-position model. The record is from RNAcentral.
UACGGAGGGGGCUAGCGUUGUUCGGAAUUACUGGGCGUAAAGCGCGCGUAGGCGGCUUUGUAAGUUAGAGGUGAAAGCCCGGAGCUCAACUCCGGAACUGCCUUUAAGACUGCAUCGCUAGAACGUCGGAGAGGUAAGUGGAAUUCCGAGUGUAGAGGUGAAAUUCGUAGAUAUUCGGAAGAACACCAGUGGCGAAGGCGACUCACUGGACAUGUAUUGACGCUGAGGUACGAAAGCGUGGGGAGCAAACAGG